RNAcentral lists this ribosomal RNA (433 nucleotides) under uncultured bacterium. RNAcentral describes it as "partial 16S ribosomal RNA". It matches the Rfam family "Bacterial small subunit ribosomal RNA", at positions 29 to 507 of the family's 1533-position model. The record is from RNAcentral.
AACGAACGCUGGCGGCAUGCCUAACACAUGCAAGUCGAACGAGACCUUCGGGUCUAGUGGCGCACGGGUGCGUAACGCGUGGGAACCUGCCCUUAGGUUCGGAAUAACUCCCCGAAAGGGGUGCUAAUACCGGAUAAUGUCUUCGGACCAAAGAUUUAUCGCCUUUGGAAGGGCCCGCGUUGGAUUAGCUAGUUGGUAGGGUAAAAGCCUACCAAGGCGACGAUCCAUAGCUGGUCUGAGAGGAUGAUCAGCCACACUGGGACUAAGACACGGCCCAGACUCCUACGGGAGGCAGCAGUGGGGAAUAUUGUACAAUGGGCGAGAGUCUGAUCCAGCAAUGCCGCGUGAGUGAUGAAGUCCUUAGGGUUGUAAAGCUCUUUUACCCGGGAUGAUAAUGACAGUACCGGGAGAAUAAGCUCCGGCUAACUCCGUG